GAUGAACGCUGGCGGCGUGCCUAAUACAUGCAAGUCGAGCGAACAGAUAAGGAGCUUGCUCCUUUGACGUUAGCGGCGGACGGGUGAGUAACACGUGGGUAACCUACCUAUAAGACUGGGAUAACUUCGGGAAACCGGAGCUAAUACCGGAUAAUAUUUUGAACCGCAUGGUUCGAUAGUGAAAGAUGGUUUUGCUAUCACUUAUAGAUGGAUCCGCGCCGUAUUAGCUAGUUGGUAAGGUAACGGCUUACCAAGGCGACGAUACGUAGCCGACCUGAGAGGGUGAUCGGCCACACUGGAACUGAGACACGGUCCAGACUCCUACGGGAGGCAGCAGUAGGGAAUCUUCCGCAAUGGGCGAAAGCCUGACGGAGCAACGCCGCGUGAGUGAUGAAGGUCUUCGGAUCGUAAAACUCUGUUAUUAGGGAAGAACAUAUGUGUAAGUAACUGUGCACGUCUUGACGGUACCUAAUCAGAAAGCCACGGCUAACUACGUG
This 497-nucleotide ribosomal RNA is filed under the name uncultured bacterium. Its description in RNAcentral is "partial 16S ribosomal RNA". It matches the Rfam family "Bacterial small subunit ribosomal RNA", at positions 28 to 507 of the family's 1533-position model. The record is from RNAcentral.